UACGUAGGGGGGCGAGCGUUGUCCGGAUUUAUUGGGCGUAAAGAGCGUGUAGGCGGCCAGGUAGGUCUGCUGUGAAAACUCGAGGCUCAACCUCGAGACGUCGGCGGAAACCAUCUGGCUAGAGUCCGGAAGAGGAGAGUGGAAUUCCUGGUGUAGCGGUGAAAUGCGCAGAUAUCAGGAAGAACACCCGUGGCGAAGGCGGCUCUCUGGGACGGUACUGACGCUGAGACGCGAAAAGCGUGGGGGAGCAAACAGG
RNAcentral lists this ribosomal RNA (256 nucleotides) under uncultured bacterium. Its description in RNAcentral is "partial 16S ribosomal RNA". It matches the Rfam family "Bacterial small subunit ribosomal RNA", at positions 524 to 776 of the family's 1533-position model. The record is from RNAcentral.